UGGGAUGCGGCUCAGUGGCAGAGCGCUUGCCUCGCAUGCUCGAGGCCCUGGGUUCCAUCCCCAGCACCACAA
RNAcentral lists this transfer RNA (72 nucleotides) under Marmota monax (woodchuck). It matches the Rfam family "tRNA". From Rfam's summary of the family: Transfer RNA (tRNA) molecules are approximately 80 nucleotides in length. Their secondary structure includes four short double-helical elements and three loops (D, anti-codon, and T loops). The record is from Rfam by way of RNAcentral. Lineage: Eukaryota; Metazoa; Chordata; Mammalia; Rodentia; Sciuridae.